RNAcentral lists this ribosomal RNA (265 nucleotides) under Klebsiella pneumoniae. RNAcentral's name for it is "partial 23S ribosomal RNA". It matches the Rfam family "Bacterial large subunit ribosomal RNA", at positions 167 to 470 of the family's 2925-position model. The record is from RNAcentral. Lineage: Bacteria; Pseudomonadati; Pseudomonadota; Gammaproteobacteria; Enterobacterales; Enterobacteriaceae.
UAGGUUAACGAGGCGAACCGGGGGAACUGAAACAUCUAAGUACCCCGAGGAAAAGAAAUCAACCGAGAUUCCCCCAGUAGCGGCGAGCGAACGGGGAGCAGCCCAGAGUCUGAAUCAGCUUGUGUGUUAGUGGAACGGUCUGGAAAGUCCGACGGUACAGGGUGAUAGUCCCGUACACCAAAAUGCACAGGCUGUGAACUCGAAGAGUAGGGCGGGACACGUGGUAUCCUGUCUGAAUAUGGGGGGACCAUCCUCCAAGGCUAAA